RNAcentral lists this ribosomal RNA (576 nucleotides) under Trichoderma harzianum. RNAcentral describes it as "eukaryotic LSU rRNA". The stretch from base 220 to 373 matches the Rfam family "5.8S ribosomal RNA". The record is from RNAcentral. Lineage: Eukaryota; Fungi; Ascomycota; Sordariomycetes; Hypocreales; Hypocreaceae.
CCAGCGGAGGGAUCAUUACCGAGUUUACAACUCCCAAACCCAAUGUGAACGUUACCAAACUGUUGCCUCGGCGGGAUCUCUGCCCCGGGUGCGUCGCAGCCCCGGACCAAGGCGCCCGCCGGAGGACCAACCAAAACUCUUAUUGUAUACCCCCUCGCGGGUUUUUUUAUAAUCUGAGCCUUCUCGGCGCCUCUCGUAGGCGUUUCGAAAAUGAAUCAAAACUUUCAACAACGGAUCUCUUGGUUCUGGCAUCGAUGAAGAACGCAGCGAAAUGCGAUAAGUAAUGUGAAUUGCAGAAUUCAGUGAAUCAUCGAAUCUUUGAACGCACAUUGCGCCCGCCAGUAUUCUGGCGGGCAUGCCUGUCCGAGCGUCAUUUCAACCCUCGAACCCCUCCGGGGGGUCGGCGUUGGGGAUCGGCCCUGCCUUGGCGGUGGCCGUCUCCGAAAUACAGUGGCGGUCUCGCCGCAGCCUCUCCUGCGCAGUAGUUUGCACACUCGCAUCGGGAGCGCGGCGCGUCCACAGCCGUUAAACACCCAACUUCUGAAAUGUGACCUCGGAUGCAGUAGGAUCCCCCGG